UGGGGAAUAUUGGGCAAUGGACGCAAGUCUGACCCAGCAACGCCGCGUGAAGGAAGAAGGCUUUCGGGUUGUAAACUUCUUUUGUCAGGGAAGAGUAGAAGACGGUACCUGACGAAUAAGCCACGGCUAACUACGUGCCAGCAGCCGCGGUAAUACGUAGGUGGCAAGCGUUGUCCGGAUUUACUGGGUGUAAAGGGCGUGCAGCCGGAGAGAUAAGUCAGAUGUGAAAUCCGCGGGCUCAACCCGCGAACUGCAUUUGAAACUGUAGAUCUUGAGUGUCGGAGGGGCAAUCGGAAUUCCUAGUGUAGCGGUGAAAUGCGUAGAUAUUAGGAGGAACACCAGUGGCGAAGGCGGAUUGCUGGACGAUAACUGACGGUGAGGCGCGAAAGUGUGGGGAGCAAACAGGAUUAGAUACCCUGGUAGU
RNAcentral lists this ribosomal RNA (424 nucleotides) under uncultured Oscillibacter sp. RNAcentral describes it as "bacterial SSU rRNA". It matches the Rfam family "Bacterial small subunit ribosomal RNA", at positions 355 to 794 of the family's 1533-position model. The record is from RNAcentral. Lineage: Bacteria; Bacillati; Bacillota; Clostridia; Eubacteriales; Oscillospiraceae.